This 173-nucleotide ribosomal RNA is filed under the name Peliosanthes macrophylla. RNAcentral describes it as "5.8S ribosomal RNA". The stretch from base 1 to 155 matches the Rfam family "5.8S ribosomal RNA". Rfam says of the family: 5.8S ribosomal RNA (5.8S rRNA) is a component of the large subunit of the eukaryotic ribosome. It is transcribed by RNA polymerase I as part of the 45S precursor that also contains 18S and 28S rRNA. Lineage: Eukaryota; Viridiplantae; Streptophyta; Magnoliopsida; Asparagales; Asparagaceae. The record is from RNAcentral.
ACUCUCGGCAACGGAUAUCUUGGCUCUCGCAUCGAUGAAGAACGUAGCGAAAUGCGAUACUUGGUGUGAAUUGCAGAAUCCCGUGAACCAUCGAGUCUUUGAACGCAAGUUGCGCCCGAGGCCAUCCGGCCGAGGGCACGCCUGCCUGGGCGUCACGCCUCGCGUCGCUCCGC